Molecule: ribosomal RNA, 251 nt
Filed under: uncultured prokaryote
Description: partial 16S ribosomal RNA
Rfam family: Bacterial small subunit ribosomal RNA
Source: RNAcentral
UACGGAGGAUGCGAGCGUUAUCCGGAUUUAUUGGGUUUAAAGGGUGCGCAGGUUGUUUGAUAAGUCAGUGGUGAAAGUCUGUCGCUUAACGGUAGGAUUGCCAUUGAUACUGUUAGACUUGAAUAUGGAUGAGGUAGGCGGAAUGUGUAGUGUAGCGGUGAAAUGCAUAGAUAUUACACAGAACACCGAUUGCGAAGGCAGCUUACUAAUCCAUCAUUGACGCUGAGGCACGAAAGCGUGGGGAUCGAACA